CCCUUAGAUGUUCUGGGCUGCACGCGCGCUACACUGAUGCGAUCAACAAGUUUUUCCUAUGUCGAUAGACACGGGUAAUCUUUUGAACUCGCAUCGUGAUGGGGAUAGAUUAUUGUAAUUAUUAAUCUUCAACGAGGAAUUCCUAGUAGGUGCAAAUCAUCAGUUUGCAUCGAUUACGUCCCUGCCCUUUGUACACACCGCCCGUCGCUGCUACCGAUUGGUUGAUCUGGUGAAUUAUUCGGACUGCCGACUGAAGGGGUUUCCUCAUCUGCCAGCGGAAAGUCUUGUUAACCCUAUCAACUAGAGGAAGCAGAAGUCGUAACA
Molecule: ribosomal RNA, 324 nt
Filed under: uncultured eukaryote
Lineage: Eukaryota
Description: partial 18S ribosomal RNA
Rfam family: Eukaryotic small subunit ribosomal RNA
Source: RNAcentral